This 468-nucleotide ribosomal RNA is filed under the name uncultured bacterium. RNAcentral describes it as "partial 16S ribosomal RNA". It matches the Rfam family "Bacterial small subunit ribosomal RNA", at positions 28 to 507 of the family's 1533-position model. The record is from RNAcentral.
GACGAACGCUGGCGGCGUGCUUAACACAUGCAAGUCGAACGGAAAGGCCCUGCUUUUGUGGGGUGCUCGAGUGGCGAACGGGUGAGUAACACGUGAGUAACCUGCCCUUGACUUUGGGAUAACUUCAGGAAACUGGGGCUAAUACCGGAUAGGAGCUCCUGCUGCAUGGUGGGGGUUGGAAAGUUUCGGCGGUUGGGGAUGGACUCGCGGCUUAUCAGCUUGUUGGUGGGGUAGUGGCUUACCAAGGCUUUGACGGGUAGCCGGCCUGAGAGGGUGACCGGCCCCAAUGGGACUGAGAUACGGGCCAGACUCCUACGGGAGGCAGCAGGGGGGAAUAUUGCACAAUGGGCCGAAGCCUGAUGCCGCCACCCCGCGUUCGGGAAGACGGCCUUCGGGUUGUAAACCGCUUUCGGCUUGUACGAAGCGGGAGUGACGGUAAUUGGUAAAGAAGCACCGGCUAACUACGUG